AGAGUUUGAUCCUGGCUCAGAGUGAACGUUGGCGGUAGGCCUAACACAUGCAAGUCGAACGGCAGCACAGUAAGAGCUUGCUCUUACGGGUGGCGAGUGGCGGACGGGUGAGGAAUGCAUCGGAAUCUACUCUGUCGUGGGGGAUAACGUAGGGAAACUUACGCUAAUACCGCAUACGACCUACGGGUGAAAGCAGGGGAUCUUCGGACCUUGCGCGAUUGAAUGAGCCGAUGCCCGAUUAGCUAGUUGGCGGGGUAAGAGCCCACCAAGGCGACGAUCGGUAGCUGGUCUGAGAGGAUGAUCAGCCACACUGGAACUGAGACACGGUCCAGACUCCUACGGGAGGCAGCAGUGGGGAAUAUUGGACAAUGGGCGCAAGCCUGAUCCAGCCAUACCGCGUGGGUGAAGAAGGCCUUCGGGUUGUAAAGCCCUUUUGUUGGGAAAGAAAAGCAGUCGGUUAAUACCCGAUUGUUCUGACGGUACCCAAAGAAUAAGCACCGGCUAACUUCGUGCCAGCAGCCGCGGUAAUACGAAGGGUGCAAGCGUUACUCGGAAUUACUGGGCGUUAAGCGUGCGUAGGUGGUUGUUUAAGUCUGUCGUGAAAGCCCUGGGCUCAACCUGGGAAUUGCGAUGGAAACUGGGC
Molecule: ribosomal RNA, 643 nt
Filed under: uncultured Stenotrophomonas sp.
Lineage: Bacteria; Pseudomonadati; Pseudomonadota; Gammaproteobacteria; Lysobacterales; Lysobacteraceae
Description: bacterial SSU rRNA
Rfam family: Bacterial small subunit ribosomal RNA
Source: RNAcentral